AUGUAAUUUACUUCGGUUACAAACUAUAAAUAACUUCAAGUCUUAAUUAAUUCACAAGUCUCUAUCUAUUUAUAUCAGUCUUCCAUCAAGAUUUUGGAGGAAAAUGAUAAUUUAAUAGUCCCAAGAGACCAAUCUUUGACCUAGAAGCGUCGGUAUGAAAGAUAAGUGCGUCAGAAAGGCAAUCAGUGUUUCAGAAGGAUUAGAUUUUAUAUUUAAUGAGAAAAAUAACCAUAUGACUGUGAAAAUUUGUUAAAGCUAG
Molecule: long non-coding RNA, 259 nt
Filed under: Mytilus galloprovincialis (Mediterranean mussel)
Lineage: Eukaryota; Metazoa; Mollusca; Bivalvia; Mytilida; Mytilidae
Source: RNAcentral